AGGCGGGACCGCGACGCGGGAUGAGAAGGAGUGGAGCAGUCGGGGCGCUCACGUCAGGCAGAGGAGCCUCUCCUAUAGCCACCACCACCACCUGUUCAUGGGGGUUUCUGCCAGGCCACGGCUGAUGAUCACAUAAAGCUCAAGCAUUCUUCUGUCAGCUUGCGGUGAAUGCUGCCAGGCCUAGAACUCACCCUUCAGGGCAGUGGGCUCCCCUCUGGCCCAGGGCAGAUCCAGAAAUGCUGUCAAGAGCCUAAGCCUGGACUCGAGGACUCCCCCAAGAACCCUCUUGGUGCUCUACCCCUCUGUGGCUGAACUGGUACCUAAGGUGCAAGACAAAGCCUCCUUUAUGUUUCCCUCUGCUUUUCUCAAAUAGAAGGAGUCUUCCAUUGUAGCCACCACAGCUGGGAAUGUGCUGGGUCACCCCUGAAGCCAGCAUAUCUCAGAGCCCAAGGCCCACAGCAUACUCGCUGGUAUUGCUGCUAUUCAGGGCCCAAGGACUGAUGAAUCCUGCCAGGACUGAGUCCUUCCUUUCAAGGCAGUAGGUUCCCUUUUGGCCCAAGGUGUGUCUAGAAAUGUUGUCUAGGAGCUAGGGCCUGGGAUGGGAGCCUCAUCACCCUGCUCAAUGUCCUAUCGUACUGUGGCUGAGCUGGUAUCCCAGAUACAAGACAAAGUCCUCUUUACUCUUUGCUCUCCUCUACUUAAGCAGAAGGAAAGAGUCACUUUGUUGCAGAGAGCUGCACUGCCUGGGGUUUGGGGAGGUAUGGCACAAGGUGUGCCAGCUGGUGUCACUCUAGGUCACUUACCAUGCUAGUUCACUGGCUGUAAGGCAAGCCUAGCAUUAGGAAUUGCCUAGGACUUGCAGUCCUUGUGUUCAGACUGCCUUUCAGGUUUACCUAGGACCCCAGAGCACUUCAGCCUGCUGUGGUGUGCCUUGCUGAGAAGCUCAAGUUCCAAUUGCUAGGCUAUUGCCCUCUGGCUAGGGAUGGUCCAAAUCCUCCCUCCAUGCGUGGGUGCUGGCUGAACCCAGCACAGCUUUAACUCUGCUGUGACAAGGCAGCACUGAAUAUAAUGUGAAGUCCAUCAGUCACUGCGCUCUCCCUCCCCAAAGUGCACAGAUUCUCUCUCCAUACCACAUGGCCACUGGUGGAGGAUGCGGGAGGGGUGGUGUCAGCAAUUCAAGACUAUUUCUCUUGCCUUCCUCAAUGCCUCUUUUGGAAAUUUGAAGUCAAAACCAGGUACCAUGAUUGUUCACCUGAUUUUUGGUUCUGUGUGCAGAUAGUCAUUAAAAUUUGAUGUUCCAGUAAGAGAUGAAUGGUGUGGGCUUCUAUUUCGCCAUCUUGCUUCCUUUCCCCUCAUUACUUAUUUAUUUAAUCAUUUGCCUAUAUCAGGAUGGAUUCUUAGAAUAUUUAUUUUAUACUUUGGGUUAUACUCCCAUACUACUUUAUUUUAUUGCUCAAAUUGUUCCAGCUAUAGCCAUUGGCAGCUCUUUCAGUUUGUUCCUCUAUCACUUUGACAUAUUCCCAUCAUUGUAUAGUUUUUUUUUGUUUCUGUUUAUUUGUUUUAGCACUUCCUUACUCUUUGAUACCACAAGAUGCUCAUAACUCAUCUUAUAUGUUUUCCUGCCACAGUACUAAAAUCAGCAUUUUUCCAAGUAGCAUUAAUUUGUAUUUAUUUACUUACUUGUGUUUUUUAAAUCAGAGAACCUGUGAAACUUAGAUAAGUGGUUAAAUCAUUUAAAUCAUUCUGUGGAGCUUAAUUCAACAUGGCAUUGAGCCCUACUACGUACCAAGUGCUGUAUUUAAGCACAAUUGAAGAAGAUACAGUUCCUGCCCUCAAAUAGUUCUAAUGGUGAAGUUGAAAGCAAUUUUUUUGUUUCAAGUCCAGAGGAGCCAUGAUAACCCCAUUCACUGUUAAUCAACUCUGUUACCUGAGCAGUCGCUUGAUCAGCCAACUAGCAACUGCUUAUUGAAUGCCUAAUAUUAAUGACAAACAUAAAAUUAGUGACAUUUUAAUGAACACUGAUAACCUCUGAACGAUGUACAAUUUUCAGUCUUUCAAAUCUUAGUCUUUUAUA
Molecule: long non-coding RNA, 2074 nt
Filed under: Homo sapiens (human)
Lineage: Eukaryota; Metazoa; Chordata; Mammalia; Primates; Hominidae
Description: non-protein coding lnc-LGALS3-1:3
Source: RNAcentral